RNAcentral lists this ribosomal RNA (926 nucleotides) under Stegobolus fissus. RNAcentral describes it as "eukaryotic LSU rRNA". It matches the Rfam family "Eukaryotic large subunit ribosomal RNA", at positions 89 to 937 of the family's 3401-position model. Lineage: Eukaryota; Fungi; Ascomycota; Lecanoromycetes; Ostropales; Graphidaceae. The record is from RNAcentral.
GCGAGUGAAGCGGCAACAGCUCAAAUAUGAAAUCUGGCCUUUCUGGUCCGAGUUGUGAUUUGUAGAAGGUGCUUCGGGCGCGACUCUGGUCAAAGUCCCUUGGAACAGGGCGUCCUAGAGGGUGAGAAUCCCGUACGUGGCCGAGGGUCAAGCUCAUGUGAAGCCCUUUCGACGAGUCGAGUUGUUUGGGAAUGCAGCUCUAAUUGGGUGGUAAAUUUCAUCUAAAGCUAAAUAUCUGCCGGAGACCGAUAGCGCACAAGUAGAGUGAUCGAAAGAUGAAAAGCACUUUGAAAAGAGAGUUAAACAGUACGUGAAAUUGUUGAAAGGGAAGCGCUUGCAACCAGACUUGCUCGCGGGUGCUCAACCGCUCUUUGGGGUGGUGCAUUCUCCCGUGAUCGGGCCAGCAUCGGUUUUGGCGGCUGGAUAAAGGCCCCGGGAAUGUAGCUCCUNNGAGUGUUAUAGCCCGGGGUGCAAUGUGGCCUGCUGAGACCGAGGACUGCGCAUCUGCUAGGAUGCUGGCGUAAUGGUUGCCAGCGACCCGUCUUGAAACACGGACCAAGGAGUCGACCAAUCGAGCGAGUGUGUGGGCGUAAACCCCAUUCGCGUAAUGAAAGUGAAGUAGGUGGGAGCCUUCGGGUGCACCAUCGACCGAUCCUGAUGUCUUCGGAUGGAUUUGAGUACGAGCCCGGCUGGUCGGACCCGAAAGGCUCGUCUAUUCUUUAAGCGUUUUCGAAAAUCGGCUAACAAUUGUUUUAGAUGGUGAACUAUGCGUGAAUAGGGUGAAGCCAGAGGAAACUCUGGUGGAGGCUCGCAGCGGUUCUGACGUGCAAAUCGAUCGUCAAAUUUGCGCAUAGGGGCGAAAGGUAUGUCAUCAAUCAACUUUUGAUCAACUUAAGUACAGUUGGCUAACUUCUAAAGACUAAUCA